This 441-nucleotide long non-coding RNA is filed under the name Salvia miltiorrhiza (redroot sage). RNAcentral's name for it is "long non-coding RNA (SMIL_LNC003472)". Lineage: Eukaryota; Viridiplantae; Streptophyta; Magnoliopsida; Lamiales; Lamiaceae. The record is from RNAcentral.
ACCAAAAAUUCUCACUUUCUCACUCUACUUUGGAGCUUCUUCUUCAAGGAUUUUCUUGAUCAAUUGAAGGUAGAUAGUGUUUAGGGAAAGUUUUAGAGUGAUGUGAGGUGUUUAGUAGUAUUUUUUUGGAAGCUUCGAAGGUUGCUCUAAUGGAGGAAAAUGGUGGAAGUGUGAGGUGAAGAAGAUGAGUGUAUGUAUGUGUGUGUUGGGCGAAAUUGUAGUGAGGGAGAGAGGGGUGAUGGCCGAAAAUUUAGUGAGGGAGAGAGAGGUUUGGCUCUUGCAAGAUUGAGUUUGAUCUUGCAUAUCUUAUGCAAUAUUUGGUAAUUAAUGUUCCUCUCUCUCUAAUCUUUUCUCUUCUCUCUCUAAUCUUUUCUCUCUCUCUCUCUAAUCUCUCUCUAAUCUCUACACUCUCAUCUCCACUCUCUCAUCCUCUAUACUCUC